Molecule: ribosomal RNA, 400 nt
Filed under: phytoplankton environmental sample
Lineage: Eukaryota
Description: partial small subunit ribosomal RNA
Rfam family: Eukaryotic small subunit ribosomal RNA
Source: RNAcentral
AGCUCCAAUAGCGUAUAUUAAAGUUGCUGCAGUUAAAAAGCUCGUAGUUGGAUUUGUGGCGCGGUCGUCCGGCGGGGCUUCCGGUUUCAUAGUAUCCCGGGGCCGUUUGUCUGGGUUCUUGGCCGCCCCAUUCUUCGGUUGCGUGUCGCUGGCAUUAGGUUGUCGGCUUCUUCGCGCCGAUCGUUUACUGUGAAAAAAUUAGAGUGUUCAAAGCAGGCUUAGGCCGUUGGAUACAUUAGCAUGGAAUAAUGAGAUAGGGCCACGGCGGUCUAUUUUGUUGGUUUGCACGUUGUGGUAAUGAUUAACAGGAACGGUUGGGGGUAUUCGUAUUCAAUUGUCAGAGGUGAAAUUCUUGGAUUUAUGGAAGACGAACUACUGCGAAAGCAUUUACCAAGGAUGU